GUGAGGAAUCUUCCACAAUGGGGGCAACCCUGAUGGAGCAACGCCGCGUGCAGGAUGAAGGCCUUCGGGUUGUAAACUGCUUUUAUAAGUGAAGAAUAUGACGGUAACUUAUGAAUAAGGAUCGGCUAACUACGUGCCAGCAGCCGCGGUCAUACGUAGGAUCCGAGCGUUAUCCGGAGUGACUGGGCGUAAAGAGUUGCGUAGGCGGUUAGUAAAGCGAAUAGUGAAAUCUGGUGGCUCAACCAUUCAGGCUAUUAUUCGAACUCACUAUCUCGAGAGUGGUAGAGGUAACUGGAAUUUCUUGUGUAGGAGUGAAAUCCGUAGAUAUAAGAAGGAACACCGAUGGCGUAGGCAGGUUACUGGACCAUUUCUGACGCUAAGGCACGAAAGCGUGGGGAGCGAACCGGAUUAGAAACCCUUGUAGUCC
This 427-nucleotide ribosomal RNA is filed under the name uncultured bacterium. RNAcentral describes it as "partial 16S ribosomal RNA". It matches the Rfam family "Bacterial small subunit ribosomal RNA", at positions 354 to 796 of the family's 1533-position model. The record is from RNAcentral.